This 339-nucleotide long non-coding RNA is filed under the name Olea europaea subsp. europaea. The record is from RNAcentral. Lineage: Eukaryota; Viridiplantae; Streptophyta; Magnoliopsida; Lamiales; Oleaceae.
UAAACAUUUCAAAUGUAUCCCAUACUGCAUGGGUUGUGUUGAAGUCUUUAACUAGUUUGAGGGUUUCUUCAAACUGUUGAGAUGAUCCAACCAUGAAUGAGGGGAUCGGACUUCCACAAGGCAAUGGAUUUGUUAAUUUUGGUGUGAAUUUCUUUUUUUUCUUUUUUUCUUUUUAAAAUUGUUUGGAUUUGAUGUGUUGUAUUUGGUGGGAAUAAGGUUUUUCAUUGGUGAAAUGAUCAACCUAAUCUUGAACUCAUUUGUCAAUUUUGGUAUGAAAUUUGUCGCUUUUGUUGUUUUGUUUGGAUUUAGUGGGAUGUAUUUGAUGGAUAAGGAUUAAUG